This 87-nucleotide transfer RNA is filed under the name Myxococcales bacterium. Its description in RNAcentral is "tRNA-Leu". It matches the Rfam family "tRNA". Rfam says of the family: Transfer RNA (tRNA) molecules are approximately 80 nucleotides in length. Their secondary structure includes four short double-helical elements and three loops (D, anti-codon, and T loops). Lineage: Bacteria; Pseudomonadati; Myxococcota; Myxococcia; Myxococcales. The record is from RNAcentral. RNAcentral also lists the same sequence under 1 other name.
GCCAGAGUGGCGAAAUUGGUAGACGCAGCGGACUCAAAAUCCGCCGGGGGUGACCCCAUGCCGGUUCGAGUCCGGCCUCUGGUACCA